Long non-coding RNA from Selaginella moellendorffii, 310 nucleotides. RefSeq lists it as uncharacterized. The transcript has 2 exons. The record is from RefSeq and is a predicted model, not a curated record. NCBI's taxonomy places the organism in Eukaryota, Viridiplantae, Streptophyta, Lycopodiopsida, Selaginellales, Selaginellaceae.
CUUUUAUAAUUUGGAAGAUACUUGAUCAGCAACUCCGGCAAGGAGGCGAUCAGCUGGGGAACACUGAAAGAUUGCUGGCAGACGUUCCGGAGGACGAUGAUCUGCAAGUUCGGCAGCAGAAGCGAACUUGCUAGUGCCGUCUUUAGUCUUUUCCUGCUUGUAUGUCAUCAGGCAAAGCUCCUCGCGUCUGUCUUCUUUGGUGUUGCACACGAAGUAAAAACGAAGCCAACUGCGCCUGUCAAACAAGAUCAAGACCUCCACUCUCUCCUUGGAAACACGAAAGAUGAGCCUCCAGACCUCAUUGAUUUCA